Molecule: microRNA precursor, 125 nt
Organism: Brassica oleracea var. oleracea
Lineage: Eukaryota; Viridiplantae; Streptophyta; Magnoliopsida; Brassicales; Brassicaceae
Rfam family: MIR9563 microRNA precursor family
Source: Rfam
GGAAUAUAAGAACCCGUCUCUUAACUUUUAACUAAAAAAAUUAAGAACCGACUUUUAAAACUUUUAUUUAAGAACCGGUUCUUAAUUUUUUUAGUUAAAAGUUAAGAGACAGGUUUUUAUAUUCC